UACCAGACUCCUACGGGAGGCAGCAGUGGGGAAUAUUGGACAAUGGGGGGAACCCUGAUCCAGCGACGCCGCGUGAGUGAAGAAGUAUUUCGGUAUGUAAAGCUCUAUCAGCAGGGAAGAAAGAAAUGACGGUACCUGACUAAGAAGCCCCGGCUAACUACGUGCCAGCAGCCGCGGUAAUACGUAGGGGGCAAGCGUUAUCCGGAUUUACUGGGUGUAAAGGGGGCGCAGACGGCAGCGCAAGCCAGGAGUGAAAGCCCGGGGCCCAACCCCGGGACUGCUCUUGGAACUGCGCGGCUGGAGUGCAGGAGGGGCAGGCGGAAUUCCUGGUGUAGCGGUGAAAUGCGUAGAUAUUAGGAGGAACACCAGUGGCGAAGGCGGCUUACUGGACUGUAACUGACGUUGAGGCUCGAAAGCGUGGGGAGCAGACAGGAUUAGAUACCCUAGUAC
This 450-nucleotide ribosomal RNA is filed under the name uncultured bacterium. Its description in RNAcentral is "bacterial SSU rRNA". It matches the Rfam family "Bacterial small subunit ribosomal RNA", at positions 329 to 793 of the family's 1533-position model. The record is from RNAcentral.